AAUAGAUACCCAGGUAGUCCAUGCCGUAAACGUUGGGAACUAGAUGUGGGGACCAUUCCACGGUCUCCGUGUCGCAGCUAACGCAUUAAGUUCCCCGCCUGGGGAGUACGGCCGCAAGGCUAAAACUCAAAGGAAUUGACGGGGGCCCGCACAAGCGGCGGAGCAUGCGGAUUAAUUCGAUGCAACGCGAAGAACCUUACCAAGGCUUGACAUAUACGAGAACGCCGUAGAAAUACGGAACUCUUUGGACACUCGUAUACAGGUGGUGCAUGGUUGUCGUCAGCUCGUGUCGUGAGAUGUUGGGUUAAGUCCCGCAACGAGCGCAACCCUCGUCGUAUGUUGCCAGCACGUAAUGGUGGGAACUCAUAUGAGACUGCCGGGGUCAACUCGGAGGAAGGUGGGGAUGAGGUCAAAUCAUCAUGCCCCUUAUGUCUUGGGCUUCACGCAUGCUACAAUGGCCGGUACAAAGGGCUGCAAUACCGCGAGGUGGAGCGAAUCCCAAAAAGCCGGUCUCAGUUCGGAUUGAGGUCUGCAACC
Molecule: ribosomal RNA, 537 nt
Filed under: uncultured bacterium
Lineage: Bacteria
Description: bacterial SSU rRNA
Rfam family: Bacterial small subunit ribosomal RNA
Source: RNAcentral